GAAGUAAUCGUGGUAACACCAUAAGAAAUUGGCAGUUUCAACUUAUGAGUUUCCUUUGCUGUUUUUUUGGGAAACAACGAGAAACAUUCAUUUGAUGUUUUAUCCAUGGAACCAGUUUUGAAUGCAUAUUAUUGGUGGUGGUAGAAACAAAAAUCAAAUUUUCAAUUAUACCUCAAUAUAGUAUUGAUAUGAUUUAGAAAAUCUUCGUAAUUACAAAGAUACUAUAAAAACAACCUCGUAUAUACAAGGUAGAAAACAGAAACAUAACUUACAAAACUGGUAAGCAACAGAAAACAACAGUUGAACAAACUAAACUACUAGCAUUUACUAUUUCAAAAACAAGAAAUGAAAGAAUCAAGUAAUCUUUGUAAUAGAAAAUUAAAAUACCCCGACUUAAGUAAGGAAUUGGCAGAUUCAGGUUAUGAGUCGUUAGAAUCUGAUAUAUGAGAAAUUUUCUUAUGUUGUUUGUUGGGAAACAACGAGAAACAACCGGUUGAUGUUUUAUCCGUAGAACCUGUUUUGAUUGUAUCUAACUUCUUGUCCUCUUGUAGUUUCUCUUCUUGUGCUCUUUUCUUCAAUUUUUCCUUGUAUAUCUUCUGCAUCACAUAUGUUUCAGCUAGCCCAAAUCCUGCUGAUGCCAUGUCUUGUUAGAAAAUACUAUGAAUGAUAAUGAAAAAGCUUAAAAGUGAGAAGAAAGUUGGGGAGAAUAUAGAUAUAUAUAUAUAUAUAGAGUUGGUAUAGGCUUGGGGAACAAGGAAAGAAAAUCAGCCUCAUACCCUCUAGUUUGACUUUGACCCAUUUAUUGUUU
This 808-nucleotide long non-coding RNA is filed under the name Lathyrus oleraceus (garden pea). RNAcentral describes it as "Pisum sativum (pea) long non-coding RNA (PSAT_LNC005376)". The record is from RNAcentral. Lineage: Eukaryota; Viridiplantae; Streptophyta; Magnoliopsida; Fabales; Fabaceae.